Molecule: ribosomal RNA, 444 nt
Filed under: Triticum aestivum (bread wheat)
Lineage: Eukaryota; Viridiplantae; Streptophyta; Magnoliopsida; Poales; Poaceae
Description: partial small subunit ribosomal RNA
Source: RNAcentral
AUGCCUCUAUCUCACACUGGCAAAGAGCUAACAGCUGCUGCCAUUCUGCGCAAUGACGACAUUGAUCUGUCAAGUGAUGAAGAUCUUGCAGAUGACGCUCUUGAGCAACUCAUCAAGAGCAAAGAAGAAGCAGAAAUCUUCAAUGAUCUGCCUCUCUUUGAUGUCACCAUCAUCCACAACUUCAUUGACGAGUGGUUUGACACGCCAAACAUCAGCUUUGAAGAUCUGCAGCUACCCAUUGGCCUCAGUGUCGCCUUCCAAGGCGCCAUUGCUUCAGAACUUGCUAUUGCCCAGCGCAUUGUUGAACUGAAGCAGAAGAUUGACUAUGAAAAGGCUCAGUUCAAGAAGCAUAUGGCCAAGCUCAGCGUGCAAGAAGUGAAGAACUUCAAGACAAUGAUGCACGAGCUCAAGGAAGCCUUUGUGAAGAAGCGUGCAGAAGCUUAG